GCGCUCACGCGUGGGGGCGGCUCGCGGGAAGGCUCCGCGUGGGGACCCCCGCGGUGGAUCCCGGCCGGGGCGGUCACGGAAAUCACAGCAAGAAGUAUGAAAGAGCACCAUCAAAGAGCUGAGUGUUAAGGGAAAAGGGAAAACCCUUCAGCGUCGCAUGACCUCUUUAAAUACCUGCCGAGGAAUGACCCGCUGUGGGAAGAGCAGCAGAGAGAGUGUUUUGCUGCCCGGGGCAGGGUACCACCACCUUGAGACCCUCAGGUGCAGGAACACAGGCUGAAAGCCAGCGAGAGCUCAGUGUCCCCUGAUGUCUUUUCCCUGUGUCCAAGCAGACAAGUGUAAUUCAGCGGCUUGUCAUUCCCAGCACGUCCCAUGGUAUGUGAGAUGGAUCCAGACCGCUUGGCUGCUUUGUUGUUGGACAGAAGACCCAGUGGUGGGUGGCGGGCCUCCUCCAUCCACUCCACAGACAAGGAUAUCUUUAGGUCUGUGCUGAGGAAUGACGUAUAUUUUCUCUCUUCUUACAUCAUCACUCAAAGCCCAUGCUUUUCCAUACAAGCUGUAUGAAUUCUGAGCAUGUUUGGGCUUGAACACGGACUUGGAGCCAAGCCCACUGGCAGUGCAGAGGUGUCGUGGCUGCCCAGGGGGAUGUUUGCUUCAGCUCCUCUCCGAGGUCCUAUUUUGGUGAGGGAUUAGAGAAACGUCUCAGAAGUUUGUGAUCACUUGACCCUUCAGAUGGUGGAUGGUGAACCCCCAGCAGUGCUGCUGCCUUGACUCUCCUGCAUCCAGCAAAGGGAAAAGAUUUAAAAAAAAAAAAUUAAUAAUACUACUCUCCUGCCUUUUUUCUAAGCAGAGUCUGGAGCUGGUAGAGAGUCCAGGGAGGAGUUUGGGGGAUGCUUGUUUGGUUUACGGAUUGCUUUGGAGUGCAUAUCCUUAUCCACAUGCUUUUUCUUCAAAUCUGCAGGAAUAUUUGGCCCAAAUCUGGAGCAGAUGUUGAAGCGCUGUCAGGAGAGGUCCUCAACACUCGGCUGGACUGCAGCUUGAGAUAAGACCGGUCUGUGCAGAUCUCCGCCACGGUCCACAACAGAGAGUGGUGUUGGGUGACACAGACGGGUCCUGCCUGCGAGGACUGUUCCUGCCUCAUGUCCCUCUGUGCGGUGUCUGCCAGCAAAGAUGUGGAGGUGCAGAAGCCCCUGGAAGAGAACAGCUUUUAUUGUGGUUUAUCAGCUGAUGCAGAGGAACUCUUCACCAGGGCAGCCACAGAAAGAUAGAGCAGCUAAAUCCACAAAAGGACUUAGGUGAUACACCAUUCCUGUGCCCCUACACUCCCCACUGCCUGCUGGGCUCUUCCACUGCAGGAUAACGGGUGCAGCCCCCUUCCAGCCCCAGGAGCACGUCCAGAGGAGAGGUGUGAACCCAAUGCAUUGCUGGCUGCUUGGCAGAAAACCUGCGGCAGGAAGGCUGGUAUGGACAGGGGAGCUAAGAGGGAUGGCACCAGGGGAGUUUAAGGAUGCAAAAGCUCUUUUCGAGUCAGCUCACACAAGCUAAACAUCCAAGGCAGCUGGUGCACUGGGGGAAUAAUGUGGUAAGUCUCAACAAGGGCACAUGCUCAGCUGCCUCAGCCCUGAUCUCAGCACCAGAUAUGUGCUAGGCUGCCUCUGAGAGCAGUUGUUAACCUCCCAACAAAGAUGAAAACAUGCAUCUCAUUUCCUGAUGCCAUCCACAGAAGCUCCUACCUCUACACUUCCACCACUGCAAGCCCCCAGCAGCUGGUCAUAAACAGUUCCACGUGUUGGGGAAACGGAAAAUGUUAAGUAACAGAAAACGUGCCCUGUUUGUUUUGGAUUCGAUUGAUAAACACAAUGACCAUGUGAUAAUUCCCAACAUGUGUCAACUACUUAAGCUUCACAUCUCUCUUCCAACUUUCUGUGAAUGUCUUGUUGCUUCUGCGCUCCGCUGCUGAGAAGAAGCUGCAUGUAAAGGUGCUUCCCACGAAAAUGCUGGUUUCUUCCGCUGGCACUGGUUUCCUACAUGGAGGCACAUGCGGAGGGGAGGGCAGAAGCAAUGGAGUAAAGUUGCGUUCACGUGGGCAGUGAGAGGAGAUCCCCACAGUAUGGUGGGGAAGGCCAGGGAAGUGUUUGAGGACCUCAGGUUUUGCUAGUUUUCAUUUAUUGCAUCUGCAAACUUAGCACUCUUGGAAAUAUUACAGUUGUUGUUCCAUAGAAAGGAGAAGUGAAACAC
Long non-coding RNA from Grus americana (Whooping crane), 2238 nucleotides. RefSeq lists it as uncharacterized. NCBI's taxonomy places the organism in Eukaryota, Metazoa, Chordata, Aves, Gruiformes, Gruidae. The record is from RefSeq and is a predicted model, not a curated record. The transcript is spliced from 7 exons.